ACGUGUUCGUUCGGCCGUUCGGGUCGGCCCUGCACCGACGGAGACGUCGUGCUGCGGGCUCCCGGACGCGCCUUCCAAACCAAACCCCUGUGAACCUUUGGGAGGGUAGAGCCUUCAUCGGCGAAGCCGUCCCCUUUACAAACUCUGUAUCUCAUAGAAUGACUGCGGACAUCGUCUGCCUAAACACAUAA
RNAcentral lists this unclassified non-coding RNA (191 nucleotides) under uncultured fungus. RNAcentral describes it as "sequence contains ITS1". Lineage: Eukaryota; Fungi. The record is from RNAcentral.